This 420-nucleotide ribosomal RNA is filed under the name Triticum aestivum (bread wheat). RNAcentral describes it as "partial small subunit ribosomal RNA". The record is from RNAcentral. Lineage: Eukaryota; Viridiplantae; Streptophyta; Magnoliopsida; Poales; Poaceae.
AUGAUGUACCUAAAGAACUUUAUUGAUGAUCAGGCGUGCAUUUUGAAUGCAUUGGAAGCAAAUUCAGAAUGCCUGAGGAUCGAUUUCUUCUGUUGGUCAUGUUGUAAAAAUAGGAAGCAGCUUCUCACGAGCCAACCUUUUUUUUGCAGGGGAGACUCCAGGGAGAGAGAGGAAAGCUGCGCAAGUGCCCCUGGAAGCGAGGCAGCUCGGCGCCGUCGCGGAAGAGGAGCUACGCUUCCAUGGAGUAGAGCGACGAGGGGCUCCGGCGUCGCUGUAGAGGAGGGAGGAGAUCCGCCGCCACUGCACCUGACAAUUCGACAGGAACCUCUCUGGAUGAUUCUGUCAAUUCUGGUGUUAUGCAUUUUUGAAAGUGUUGUGCAAUGGCAGAAAUUGGCAAGAGGACACCUCAACUUGGUAUGA